This 464-nucleotide ribosomal RNA is filed under the name uncultured bacterium. RNAcentral describes it as "partial 16S ribosomal RNA". It matches the Rfam family "Bacterial small subunit ribosomal RNA", at positions 28 to 507 of the family's 1533-position model. The record is from RNAcentral.
GACGAACGCUGGCGGCGUGCUUAACACAUGCAAGUCGAACGGUAAGGCCCCAGCUUGCUGGGGUACACGAGUGGCGAACGGGCGAGUAACACGUGGGUGACCUGCCCCGCACUUCGGGAUAAGCCUGGGAAACUGGGUCUAAUACCGGAUAGGACCGCACCGUGAGGGUGUGGUGGAAAGUUUUUCGGUGUGGGAUGGGCCCGCGGCCUAUCAGCUUGUUGGUGGGGUAAUGGCCUACCAAGGCGGCGGCGGGUAGCCGGCCUGGGAGGGUGGACGGCCACCUUGGGACUGAGACACGGCCCAGACUCCUACGGGAGGCAGCAGUGGGGAAUAUUGCACAAUGGGCGGAAGCCUGAUGCAGCGACGCCGCGUGGGGGAUGACGGCCUUCGGGUUGUAAACUCCUUUCACCAUCGACGAAGGUUUUCUGACGGUAGAUGGAGAAGAAGCACCGGCUAACUACGUG